Molecule: long non-coding RNA, 564 nt
Filed under: Panax ginseng (ginseng)
Lineage: Eukaryota; Viridiplantae; Streptophyta; Magnoliopsida; Apiales; Araliaceae
Description: long non-coding RNA (PGIN_LNC006289)
Source: RNAcentral
CCACUUUGAUAACACACACAACUUUACUUGUAAUAUUUUGUCUAAACAAAAGCUAAAUAGAACCUGAUGAAUUAUUAUCUGCUUACAUAUAAAAAUUCUAAACAACGAUAAUUAGUUAAUUACAUGAAAGAUAAUUCCAUUUAAUUGAAGGGUGGUUUCCAUAAUAAUGCUUCUUGAUAUGCUCCAUGUUGACAGUGUUACUCAUUCCAGGACUCUGUUGCACUUGAACUCUUGAAGUGAACUACAUAAGCCAUAAAGCCAUAAACCUGCAUAUGUAUGCACUAUAUCAACCCACUGGUCUAAUAUAAAACAAAUAUGCAAUAAUUCAAUUCAAAUAAUUCAGAUAGGCAAUAAUUCAGCAAGGUGAAAAACAAAUAUGCUUGUCAAUUCAAUAAUUCACAAUAAACUGUGAUCUUCACUUCACAUAUAUAUACAUGAAAUCCAUGUAGAUUAAAGCCUCGUACAGGUUAUAAUCCUCAAUCCUCAUGCAACAAAGAUAACAACAACAACAACAACAAACAACUGCUACAACCCAGAACAGUGAGAAACAGAACAUGAAAAGAA